RNAcentral lists this transfer RNA (72 nucleotides) under Dialister micraerophilus DSM 19965. It matches the Rfam family "tRNA". From Rfam's summary of the family: Transfer RNA (tRNA) molecules are approximately 80 nucleotides in length. The record is from Rfam by way of RNAcentral. Lineage: Bacteria; Bacillati; Bacillota; Negativicutes; Veillonellales; Veillonellaceae.
GGGCCUAUAGCUCAGUGGUAGAGCCGACGGCUCAUAACCGUCUGGUCCCAGGUUCGAACCCUGGUGGGCCCA